Long non-coding RNA from Andrographis paniculata, 2001 nucleotides. RefSeq lists it as uncharacterized. The record is from RefSeq and is a predicted model, not a curated record. The transcript has 6 exons. NCBI's taxonomy places the organism in Eukaryota, Viridiplantae, Streptophyta, Magnoliopsida, Lamiales, Acanthaceae.
GUCGGACGGAGGGGAGGUAGUACUAUAUUCUCAGGAAGGAAUCGUCGUAUGCUCAUGGAACCAUGGCCGCCGGAAUCGUUGGAACCCUAGCCACCGUAAUUGUUGUGUGCUCUUGGAGGUUGCAAAGAAAAGGACCUCUGGACUCAGUUAUAUUUGGCAGAUUUUCAAAGCCGAGGAUAUGUUUUCUAGUAGUGUUCUAAUCAGAAUGCUUCGUAGUAGCUGUCAGGAUAUGGCUGAUUGUGUUUGGUUCUUGUAGGAAAGGACAUUGGGGAAAUUGAUGAUGGCCCUAUAGAAAAAGGAAUAAACUUACAACAAUCGAAGUUGUUGGGGAAAUGAAUGAUUCUCUGCCAAUUUCAGUUGUAUCGUCUCUCCGAUACUCCGACUGUAACUUUAUUUCAUUUUGUUUAUGCAUUCUUUGUUUUAUUUUUCUGGAGAUUUUUCUUUGGCUAAUGCUCGGAAAAAUUAGUAAUUAAUCUAAUUCAUUUUCUAGUUCAAAAUGAACAUACUAUACAAGACUAACCUAAUUAUAUAAUAAAUCGUAGCAAAAUUUACUGCAUAAACAUAAAUCAAAUGUUUAGAACAGUAACCUACAUUACAAAGAUAUAAAACUGAUUUGAGUGCCACAUAGUUUGUGGGUGGUGUUAUUCAUUUGGUGGUAUGGACAAUUGUAUUAAAUUGGACAAGAGUAAUAUAAUUGGUGUGUUGUAGAACUAGGGAAUUUGAUUAUUUGUUUUUGUAAUAUUUUAGGAGCUGGAUUUCUAUGACAUAUGGCUUGUGUCGUUCUAGGUUUGCGAAGAAAAAUUGACUACAAUGAAACAGGAGUUAGAAGCAUUGAACAAAAAGAUAACUUACAAGAACUUUUCAAUCCUGCUGCAAGAUGAAGGUUGAACCAAGCGCCGGUAGGACAAUAGCUUUGGUAAAUGAGCACUUAGAAUAGAGGGCCUCUUGCAGGUUUAUUCAUUUGGAUAUGUAGGUGGAUAUUCUUGGCUUGUGAACUUUUUCCCAAAGUAGGGGCUUAAGAGCAUGUUGCUAUUUAUAUUUUUUCUUUAGUUGCUAUUUUGUUUCAGUAUCUGUGUUAUGUUGGCGGAACUAAAAGUGGAUUAAGAGCCUUCUAGUGAAUUAUUGACAAAAGUUGUUGAAGAACUAUUUGAAGAAUUCCGAAGCACUAGACUUGACAUCUCACAACCAUAUUUCAAGAAAGCUCACAGAUGGAAAGCAGGAUCCGGAGGAUUUAUCGGUGCCCUUUCAUUGAUCAUAUAUAUACUCCCUUAUGCCGGUGCCCCUCCUCAAAUAUGUUUUUAUAUUGUGUGCAGAGCAAAUGACUAUGGGCAAGCAAUUUGCAUCAUGUUGGGGAUGUACUUAAACAAUGCUCAGAAAUUCAGAUUGAGACUUUAUUCAUUGAUGAAAUGCUUAACGAUUGACCAAGACAUAUAGCAGUGUAUUUGUUAUGGGAUAACCUUAGAACUGUCGAGGAUCUGACCACAUACAGCCGUAGCACAUUCCAUGAGCAUUCAUUUGCUGCUAAAACCAAGAGUUGGCUGGAGGCCUAUGCAUUCAGAAGGAAUGCUUUUCUUGUACUUGCGGGGACAUCCAUGGUAAUCGGUGAUGGCAUUCUCAAUCCUGCUAUAUCUGUUCUUUCUGGCUCUGGAGGGAUAAAUGUGAAGCUGCAACCUCAUAUGUGCAAUGGUAUGAUUCUCAACAAACUAAAGUGUCGCCUGUAAUUAUUAGCACUCUUUUGUUCCUACUAUUUUUUUUUUUUUUUGUCUGCAUUAGCCGUGUGUAUCUUCAUACAAAUUUGGGCAAUGUGCACUUUGAUGCAGAUAUGGUUGUGCUUGUUGUUGUAGUCAUAUUAGUUGGAUUGUUCAGCAUGCAACACUAUGAUACAAAUAGAACUGGUAAAAACUGAUCCGAUACGAUAACCCGGCACGAAAUAAUUGGGUUUGGGUCAAUUUUGACCGGAUUAUGUAUAUGGGUUGAUACGAAUUCGAUACGAUAAUAAAU